GUGCAGCAGGCGCGAAUACUCCGCAAUGCGGGCAACCGCGACGGGGCUACCCCGAGUGCCGCCCGAAGAGGGUGGCUUUUGCCCGGUCUAAAAAGCCGGGCGAAUAAGCGGGGGGCAAGCUUGGUGUCAGCCGCCGCGGUAAUACCAACCCCGCGAGUGGUCGGGACGUUUAUUGGGCCUAAAGCGCCCGUAGCCGGCCCGGCAAGUCGCUCCUGAAAUCCCCGGGCUCAACCCGGGGGCGGGGGGCGAUACUGCCGGGCUAGGGGGCGGGAGAGGCCGCCGGUACUCCGGGGGUAGGGGCGAAAUCCGUUAAUCCCCGGAGGACCACCAGUGGCGAAGGCGCCCGGCUAGCACGCGCCCGACGGUGAGGGACGAAAGCUGGGGGAGCAAAGGGGAUUAGAUACCCCCGUAGUCCCAGCUGUAAACGAUGCGGGCUAGGUGUUGGACGGGCUUCGAGCCCGUCCAGUGCCGUAGGGAAGCCGUUAAGCCCGCCGCCUGGGGAGUACGGCCGCAAGGCUGAAACUUAAAGGAAUUGGCGGGGGAGCAC
RNAcentral lists this ribosomal RNA (547 nucleotides) under uncultured archaeon. RNAcentral's name for it is "partial 16S ribosomal RNA". It matches the Rfam family "Archaeal small subunit ribosomal RNA", at positions 330 to 879 of the family's 1478-position model. The record is from RNAcentral.